CCCUUAGAUGUCCUGGGCCGCACGCGCGCUACACAGAGUGUCUGAGAUACGAGUCUGCCUGGUCCGGCAAGGUCUAGGUAAUCGCUAAAAGACACAUCAUGCUUGGGAUAGAUUAUUGCAAAUAUUAAUCUUGAACGAGGAAUUCCUAGUAAGCGCAAGUCAACAGCUUGCGUUGAUUACGUCCCUGCCCUUUGUACACACCGCCCGUCGCUACUACUGAUUGGAUGUUUAAGCGAGGUUCUCGAACUGCUAGCGACUUAGCUUCGGUGAGGUCGCAGUGUGGGAAGUGAACCUAGCUUUGGUGUCUAGAGGAAGGAGAAGUCGUAACA
This 329-nucleotide ribosomal RNA is filed under the name uncultured eukaryote. RNAcentral's name for it is "partial 18S ribosomal RNA". It matches the Rfam family "Eukaryotic small subunit ribosomal RNA", at positions 1470 to 1796 of the family's 1831-position model. The record is from RNAcentral.